This 86-nucleotide transfer RNA is filed under the name Candidatus Peribacteria bacterium RIFCSPLOWO2_01_FULL_51_18. RNAcentral describes it as "tRNA-Leu". It matches the Rfam family "tRNA". Rfam says of the family: Transfer RNA (tRNA) molecules are approximately 80 nucleotides in length. Their secondary structure includes four short double-helical elements and three loops (D, anti-codon, and T loops). Further hydrogen bonds mediate the characteristic L-shaped molecular structure. tRNAs have two regions of fundamental functional importance: the anti-codon, which is responsible for specific mRNA codon recognition, and the 3' end, to which the tRNAs corresponding amino acid is attached (by aminoacyl-tRNA synthetases). tRNAs cope with the degeneracy of the genetic code in two manners: having more than one tRNA (with a specific anti-codon) for a particular amino acid; and 'wobble' base-pairing, i.e. permitting non-standard base-pairing at the 3rd anti-codon position. RNAcentral also lists the same sequence under 1 other name. The record is from RNAcentral. Lineage: Bacteria; Candidatus Peregrinibacteriota; Candidatus Peribacteria.
GCCAUGGUGGCGAAACGGCAGACGCUCCAGCCUUAGGAGCUGGUGUCCGAAAGGACGUGUGGGUUCGACUCCCACCCAUGGCACCA